Non-coding RNA from Cynocephalus volans (Philippine flying lemur), 75 nucleotides. NCBI's taxonomy places the organism in Eukaryota, Metazoa, Chordata, Mammalia, Dermoptera, Cynocephalidae. The record is from the annotation of a RefSeq genome assembly.
GGCCAGUUAGCUCAGUUGGUUAGAGCAUGGUGUUGGAAACACCAAGGUCAAGGGUUCAGAUCUCUGUACUGGCCA